Molecule: ribosomal RNA, 623 nt
Filed under: uncultured fungus
Lineage: Eukaryota; Fungi
Description: eukaryotic LSU rRNA
Rfam family: Eukaryotic large subunit ribosomal RNA
Source: RNAcentral
CCCGCUGAACUUAAGCAUAUCAGUUAGCGGAGGAAAAGAAACUAAACAGGAUUCCCCUAGUAACGGCGAGUGAAAAGGGAUGAGCCCAGCGCUGAAUCUCUCGGUCUAAGGCCGCUGAGAACUGUAGCGUAUAGGUUUGACUGUCUGUUUGCUAUGUAUUCUCCAAGUUCCUUUGAUAGGGGCUAGUUCAGUCCCGAGAGGGUGCUAGACCUGUGCGAGAAUUGUAGUGAGCAGUUGGUUGUUCCUUGGAGUCGUGUUGCUUGAAAGUGCAGCAUAAAGUAGGUGAUAGACUUCAUCUAAGGCUAAAUAUAACCAUGAAUUCGAUAGCUAACAAGUACCACGAGGGAAAGUUGCAAAGAACUUUGAAGAGAGAGUUCAAGAGAACGUGAAAUCGCUGGAGUAUGCGGAGAGAGUUGACGUAACCCGGUAGCUAAGUUGUUCUUCGGAGCGAUGGUGCUGCUUAUGGUUGCAUUGGUGGCGUUGGUUAGCAACGACAGCUGCGUAGUUUAGCCCACUUCGGUGGUGUCUAGCUUGUGGUCUUGUUGUUGUCGGCUAGCGUGUAAGUCCUGUUCACAGGGUGCCAAUGUCCUAGUCGACCACCUCUCUGACCCGUCUUGAAACAC